RNAcentral lists this ribosomal RNA (259 nucleotides) under uncultured archaeon. RNAcentral's name for it is "partial 16S ribosomal RNA". It matches the Rfam family "Archaeal small subunit ribosomal RNA", at positions 748 to 1009 of the family's 1478-position model. The record is from RNAcentral.
UAGGCGUAAAUGAUGCGAGUUAAGUGUGGGGGCAUCUACGAGAUGGCCCUGUGCUGUAGGGUAGCCGUUAAACUCGCUGCCUGGGGAGUACGGUCGCAAGGCUGAAACUUAAGGAUUGGCGGGGGAGCACCACAAGAGGUGGAGGCUGCGGUUCAAUUGGACUCAACGCCGGAAAACUCAUCGGGAGCGACAGCAGUAUGAUUGCCAGGUUGAUGACCUUGCUUGACAAGCUGAGAGGAGGUGCAUGGCGUAGUCGUGU